CUUCAGCGCUGUGGAACGAGCCGAUCUCCGGGGCUGCUUGCCCGGCUUCAGCGCUGUGGAAUGAGCCGAUCUCAGUAAAAAAAAAUAAUUAUGGUUAUGAAAAUGGUUAUUUGCCUAGUGUUCUUUUGUGUCAUAGUUUCAUUAUUGACCCAAUCAAGUUGGAUAAUCUACAGGUGAUACAUUUAGAAUCAUAAAACUUAUUUUGCUUUAAUUUAAUCUCCUUCUGCUAUUACCAAACACAAUUCUGGCUAUGUUCACAUAAACAUAAUACCAUCUCUUGCAGUGUUACAAAAAGCAAAUCAAUAAUUUUGAGUAUAUGUUUGUAUAAAUGCUCUCAACUUACCCCCAGAUUUGACAUAUUACAGUAACUGCUUAGUUAAAUGAAUAGGGUAAACAUGCAGUAAAGAACAUUGGUAUUUAAAUUGUGUGAAACUGACACCAAUAAAUCCUUAAUUUCUGUUAUUUACUUACUUAGAAGUAUUUUGUUUCUCAGUAGCAUAGUCGCUGUGAAGUGUGGAUAAUAGUUUUGCGAUAUAUAUUGAUUAUCACCGAAUGGCAGUUUUGAGAUAUCACUGUUAUCAUUCAUUUACCACAUCUAAAAUGUGCUGAAAAAAAAUGAAAAUGGGCCUUGAAAGUGCUUCAAAAAAGCUUGAAUUUUACAAGGUGUAUGAACCCUGAAUAUUGCAUUUUGCUAUACAAAAGAAUCCAUUUGAUCAGGGCCCCUGAUGAAAGUUCAGAAGUGUAGGAGUUGUUUAGGUGAGUUCAGAAAGCUCCGGGCUUUGGGACCAGGGGGAGGUCUCCUCCAACAGGUAGUCGGCUCUGAGCGCACACUCACUCUCAGUCAGUCAGUGAGUGGGUGGGUGGGUGAGGAGCGCCGUGCCCCCCGAGCCUCAGCGAGGUGUCCGCGGGAAUGAGCCAUGGACUCGGGCAUCAGCUCAGCUCCUCUCGCGCCGUCUCCAGCCUGACUGUCCGCUCGCGCUCCAGCAUGUCCGGCCCGGAUGCUUCUUCCUCCUCCUCAGGCAGAAACCUCGCGCUCUUACUGGGAAUAACGUGUCUGACCAUCUUCACCAAGACUUCAGCUUCAGAGUUCUCAGGUUAUCUAUCACGUGUGUUGAGGAAUUACACGGAAGAAGCGUGUGACGGAGACCUACUGACUGUACGGUGCCCACCCAGGACCACCAUCACUGUCCAAACAGCUUUCUACGGCAGAAGAAACUCCGCCCACUCGCUGCAGUGCCCACCUACUUACGGUAUCAGUGGGCCACGGCCACUGAGUGAUGACACUUCCUGUCAUGUGUCAACAGCACUGCAGGUAAAAGAAACACACAAACACAUGUGUACACACACACACACUGCAUACUUAUACACAGACAGAUAGACAGUUAGAAACUCUGCAACGUUCUUGAAUAUAUUCACAUAGACUAACAGACAAACAUUAAUAACUACAAAACAUACACAAUUUCACAUAUAGAUGUGUGUAUGUGUGUGUCCCUGAU
This 1496-nucleotide long non-coding RNA is filed under the name Astyanax mexicanus (Mexican tetra). RNAcentral describes it as "lncRNA (ENSAMXG00005003009.1)". Lineage: Eukaryota; Metazoa; Chordata; Actinopteri; Characiformes; Acestrorhamphidae. The record is from RNAcentral.